GGUCCAAGCUUGUCAAUUUUUAAAUAUUUGACAUAAGCCAGACAUCUCCAAACCCUAAGAUGAGAGAGUACUAGCUCACGUGCUGUCCAUAUUUCAUAUGGUAUUUUAUUUAUGGACUUGCCCAAAAUUUUAUUUAAAAUAUAAUAAGCCAAUUCGAGUGUAUAUCUUCAAAAGAAGAUCGACAUACUUGCAAAGCCCAUCAUGGAUCGAGCUAUAUCUAAUAGGAUUUG
Molecule: long non-coding RNA, 230 nt
Filed under: Elaeis guineensis (African oil palm)
Lineage: Eukaryota; Viridiplantae; Streptophyta; Magnoliopsida; Arecales; Arecaceae
Description: long non-coding RNA (EGUI_LNC055876)
Source: RNAcentral